This 650-nucleotide long non-coding RNA is filed under the name Capra hircus (goat). RNAcentral's name for it is "lncRNA (ENSCHIG00000006088.1)". Lineage: Eukaryota; Metazoa; Chordata; Mammalia; Artiodactyla; Bovidae. The record is from RNAcentral.
GAGCUGGCUGACUGAGAAAUGCUGAGUGUGAAGUGAAUUCAGGGAACUGUCUACUGCAUGAAGUAUAAAAAUAGUUAAAGAGGAUUCCAUAAUAAUUUCCCCAGUGGUUUCAGUCAAAAUGGCAGUGUCUAUAAUGGCUCUUAACCAAGGUGAAGGCAUAAAGCUAUUGGCUAGCUUCAUCAACCAGAAUACUAAAGAAUGCGCUGCAUAAAUCAAUUACAGUGGAGAAUUUACUUCCAGUUGGAAUGGAUGUUAGUAAGUGUAAACUCAAAAUGGAUUAAAGAUCUAAACAUAAGACCAGGAGCUAUAAAAAUCCUGGAGGAGAACAAAGGCAAAACACUCUUUGACAUAAAUCACAGCAGGACCCUCUAUGAUCCACCUCCCAGAAUACUGGAAAUAAAAGGAAAAAUAAACAAAUGGCACCUAAUUAAAAUUAAAAGCUUCUGCACAACAAAGGAAACUAUAAGCAAGGUGAAAAGACAGCCUUCUGAAUGGGAGAAAAUAAUAGCAAAUGAAGCAACUGACAAACAACUAAUCUCAAAAAUAUACAAGCAAAUAAUGCAGCUCAAUUCCAGAAAAAUAAACGGCCCAAUCAAAAAACGGGUAAAGAACUAAAUAGACAUUUCUCCAAAUAAGACAUACGGAUGGCU